GGGGUUGGGGAUUUAGCUCAGCGGUAGAGCGCUUGCCUAGCAAGCGCAAGGCCCUGGGUUCGGUCCCCAGCUCCGAGAAAAAAAAAAAAAAAAAAAAAAAGACAAAGACACCCAA
RNAcentral lists this non-coding RNA (115 nucleotides) under Rattus norvegicus (Norway rat). The stretch from base 7 to 75 matches the Rfam family "tRNA". Rfam says of the family: Transfer RNA (tRNA) molecules are approximately 80 nucleotides in length. The record is from RNAcentral. Lineage: Eukaryota; Metazoa; Chordata; Mammalia; Rodentia; Muridae.